CAGUGGCUCUCCCAAACAUUUUGGACCGAGAGACUGCUAGUGACACUUAGCAUUUCUCACAGAGCACGAUGUGGCUGCCGAGCAGGCUAGUAAUUGAAAACACUGCUGAAACCAGGCAGGCUCCCCGGGCCAGCUGCGGGCCACUUUCCGUGCCUUCAGAGCUCAGUGCCGGCAUUGCUGGGACCAGCCGUAGGGGCUGGGGAGGAUGGAGUGUGCUUGCAGGAGGCGACAGGAACAGCUCGGGUGUCUUUUCCAGGAAGUUGGGUGCGCACUCCCCGCUUCUUCUUUCUCUGUGGUCUUUUGGAGUUCAGCUUAAAUCAGAUCUGGAAAACAGCAUCCUGCUGCAGAAGAGCCGACGGUCCUAGAAACAGACUCCUACUAUAAAAAAUCUUACGGGAGCCAGAUGCCCCCGACCCUGACAGAGAUUGAUCAAAUGGCUGGUGGUAUCACCUUUCACUUUGGCACGGGGGGAAGCACGGAAUCAUGGAAAGUUUUCAGGUGGUACUUUCAGAAAGUAUUUAGGCGUUGUUGUUGUUGUUGUGUUUUGUUUAAGUGCUGCAAACAGGAAAUCAGGUCAUUCUACAUCACACAGUGCAAGCACAGAGACAGAAAGGGAGGAGGAAGGUGGGUAGCAAGGAGCAGUCACUCCUGAGGAGCAACCCCUCCUGACUGCAGCACGCUGCAGAUGCGUGCUUUGUCAGAGGCUGGAAAAGUUCAUCGCCAUGGAAGGGAAAUCUAUUAGACGUGCCUCCUGGAGGUGUGAGAGGCUCUGCGACAAGCCUUCCGGGACAGGGGGAAUCUUUGGCCAGAGAACCGCUUUGGAGAAAAGAGACAGAGAUGCUCGGGUGUGCCACCCCCAGCCUUUGCAGAAGCGGUGCGCCAGGCCUUCCCGCGGGGUGUUUCUGCGGCGGCGGCGGAGUCUCGCCCGCCGGUCGGCCUCAGGGACCCCUCCCAGGAAGGUCAUGCUUGCAGCGAUGUGAAGAAAGGGCAGGUUUUGCCAGAGAGACCUCCAAGUGCACAUGCUGGCACACAGGCUAGAAUGUCACCUGCUGAAGUGGUGGGUGGUCAGAAACAACACCAAAGCUCAGAGGAAAUCAAGGACUUGGAAUUUUGCCUCCUGUCCCAGCUGCAUGUAUCCUACCAGUGUGUUUUGGGGAAGCUGGUGAGCCAGCCAAUGCCGUGGACAUAGGAAAAAGGACAUCUCCAGUGCCCUCUUAUGUUCCCUGAAGAUUUUGUCCUGGGUGGCAGUCCCCCCACAGGGAUAUACACAGGCCACCUGGAUGGGCAGGUGAUGUCAAAUAUCCUUGUCCUGCCUAAUUCAGGAGGGCAUGAACUGAAAAAAGAAGUGUUUUCCUCUUGUGUGUUUUCCUGGGAGUAGCAGUGGCACUAGCUCUGCCAGGGAGCUUGCUGUGGCCUCUGAGCUGCUCCAGCCUUUGGCAGGGGUGCUGAUUUCCUGUUGAUUCCCAGCCAGAGCCACCUCUGAAAUGGUGGUAUGGGUCAGGCUGAGACGGGUCCAAGGAACCCAGGGAGAGUGGAGGGCUCUUUGUCACCCACCUGCUCGUGGGACAGCCUCCUUGGCCACUGCGGGUGGAGGCCACCUCCUCUGCUGUCACAAAAGGCUCCUGCUGUGGUAUCUGUCCACUGGGUAAUGCUCCUCCAGGGAAAAAGAGAGACCCACUCUUGUCUUUCCAUGAGCUAGGAGAGGACUGUGCUGCUGAGGCAGGAGCCAGUAAGAAAAGUGGCUACUUCUCCUUCCCCUUUAUUUUUUAUGGAUUUAUUUUUUUACUUUGCUGCAUUUAUUUUCACUUUGUUCUUUUUUUUUAUUCACUUGGCUCAGCUCCAUCAUUUUUACUUGUCUCCCCUGUGUGCUCUUCAGACUGACAGUCCCUUUCACCCUGCUCUCUGCACCUCCCUCCCUGCCUGAUGGGAAGGUUGUUCCUCGGUUGCUGGAGUUCAUUCCUGUGUGCAGAACGCUGUUCAGUAGAGGAAGCUGGGGGAGGGCCAUCCUGCUGCCCCAGCUGGGUGAGUGCCUGUGCCAGGCUGCUCCUACCAUGAGUGACUCAGGUGUCCCUCACUUCUGCUCCCACACACUCGCUGACCUUUUCCUGCCAGUUCUGAGAUGGGGCCACAGGCCACCUCUCAUGCAGCCUGUUCCUCUUGAAAGAUACGAUAGAAUUCCUUUAUCUCCCAAUGCCAGGCAAGGCUGGGAUGCUCAGAGGUGCAGAUAACAUUGCUGCUGUGUGUACCAGGGUCUGGGCAAGGGAGCAGGAAGACUCUCUUCUCCCUUUGCACUCAGCAGGACAGCCUGAUCAUAUCCCUGCCCUUGCUUUUAUUUCUGGGGGAUCCAGUUUCUCUUUUCAACGCGUUAGCAAAUCGCAGCACAGCCCUGCUGGGUCCUGCUGACCGCCUGGCUCUGCAAAGUCCUUGAGGAAGGGGCAGCAGCCAAAGCCAGCUGGCAGGGGUGACUGGCUACAGCUCCACCAGGAGCUGCAGGACUCUGGAGCAGGGGUGGCCUGGGAGGAUGGGUGGGUUCGGGCUGUGGUGCAAAAGCUGGUGGAGAAGCCAGGAGGUGCACAAAAAAGCAGUUCAUGGCCUGGCAAAGGAGAUAAGGAGAAACUUGAUCCCUGCCUAAACAACCAGGGUUCUAGUUCUUUCAGGUCUGCCCCUCCAGGGGCACAGUGCAAAUGUAAAUGUCCAGGUAUUUAUGUGCUCUGGUAUAAAUUCAAAACUACUUUUGGAACAAUUAGAGAAGAAUGACUAAAACUGUAGUCACCAUUAGCACAGAAUACCUGUGAUCCUCCCAUCUAAUACCACAAUGCAUUUUCCUGUGAUAUUUUACAGUGACAACAUAAAGCCUGGCAUCUUUCAGUUCUAUGAUUGAAAGAUGUUUACAACAACACAAAUAUGUGGGAAUUCAGUAUUUUCCAUAUUAUCGGAUUAAAAGCCUGUCUCUCAACCUACUUAGUGCUCCACCUAAGGCUUUUCCUGCACCUGUCUUCACAAGCAUCGGAGCUUUCGUGUUUCGUCUCUUUUUGUGGCCAGAUGAAGUCAUCUUGGAGCAUGGGUGCGGUGGUGAAAGACACACAGAGUGAAUUUACAUCUCUUGGAUAAAGGAGAAACCGAAGAAAGAUUUCCCCUGUGAGCUGGUUUUUAUCGUCAGUGUGAACAUCUUAGUCAGCACAAGCUCAGACUUCUAAAAUUGUGCAGCCGUGUGCUGUGAGAGCUACAGCCUCUGCAGCUUCCUGCUUCCCUGGAUCAGCCAAGGAUAAAGGCUCCAGGAUCUGGUGCUCCUCUGGCAGGAAUGGCUGAGCCCAGGCCAGGUGAGCGGCAGGCUCUGAAACUUUGUGUGUGACCCUGCUCCUCUGGAAUGUGGGAAAACACCCUUCCAUUUGAUUCCAACAAAUCACCUCAAGCCAGAUCCUGUAGCAUGUUGAGCAUCAGUGGAUAUAGAACUAGAGAACAGAAUUAGCUGGGAGAAUCCUAAUGUUUUGUGAAAUCAUUUCCAUGACACAGACGUGAUACCAGAGUGGGAUGCUGCAUGUUUAAGUACUCAAGUCUCCAGGAAGCAAGAAUAUGCAGAUACUCUGACU
Molecule: long non-coding RNA, 3590 nt
Organism: Serinus canaria (Common canary)
Lineage: Eukaryota; Metazoa; Chordata; Aves; Passeriformes; Fringillidae
Exons: 2
Source: RefSeq, a predicted model, not a curated record